This 695-nucleotide long non-coding RNA is filed under the name Pan troglodytes (chimpanzee). RNAcentral's name for it is "long non-coding RNA NONPTRT016073". Lineage: Eukaryota; Metazoa; Chordata; Mammalia; Primates; Hominidae. The record is from RNAcentral.
AGCUGACCAAAUACAAAAUUGUGACCUAUUUGGGGUAUGUCUUUCUCCAGAACACUGGGCCAACUACCUAGUCAUAAUACAGAGCUGCAGGGAAUUCACAUUCCUGUAGGUCCCUGGAUGAUCGGCACGGAUGGCCCAGGGCUGGGAAGAGCGCUGGCCCAGGAGUUGAGAGUCCUGGGUUCUCUCUGUGGCUCGGCUAGUCAUGAAGUCUUGCUGAGCCUCAGCCUCCUCACCUGUAAAACUGGGAUCCCAGUAUAGACUUUGGAAAUCAGUAGACACCAUAUGCUUCAAAAAACAGGGGCUAUUAAAAUGACAUCAGGAGCCAGAAAGUCUCAUGGCUGUGCUUUCUCUUGAAGUUUAUACAACAACCAGAUCACCGAUGUCGGAGCCAGGUACGUCACCAAAAUCCUGGAUGAAUGCAAAGGCCUCACGCAUCUUAAACUGGGAAAAAACAAAAUAACAAGUGAAGGAGGGAAGUAUCUCGCCCUGGCUGUGAAGAACAGCAAAUCAAUCUCUGAGGUUGGGUGAGUAGAAGGGGACGGAUGUAUGUGGUACAACCUGCUGUGUGUGGGGGGAGCCCCUGCUGUUCUUUUCAUACAUCAGUACACCAGAAGGACCACUGGGGCUCGCUGUCGGGGAGAGAUAGUGGAGAGCUUUCACCAUGCUGCAAAACUGAAACCGUGCCCAUUAAGCAA